AGAGUUUGAUUCUGGCUCAGGACGAACGCUGGCGGCGUGCUUAACACAUGCAAGUCGAGCGGUAAGGCCCUUCGGGGUACACGAGCGGCGAACGGGUGAGUAACACGUGGGUAACCUGCCCUGUACUCUGGGAUAAGCCUUGGAAACGAGGUCUAAUACCGGAUACGACACUGAAUCGCAUGAUUCGGUGUGGAAAGUUCCGGCGGUAUGGGAUGGACCCGCGGCCUAUCAGCUUGUUGGUGGGGUAAUGGCCUACCAAGGCGACGACGGGUAGCCGGCCUGAGAGGGUGACCGGCCACACUGGGACUGAGACACGGCCCAGACUCCUACGGGAGGCAGCAGUGGGGAAUAUUGCACAAUGGGCGAAAGCCUGAUGCAGCGACGCCGCGUGAGGGAUGACGGCCUUCGGGUUGUAAACCUCUUUCAGCAGGGACGAAGCGCAAGUGACGGUACCUGCAGAAGAAGCACCGGCUAACUACGUGCCAGCAGCCGCGGUAAUACGUAGGGUGCGAGCGUUGUCCGGAAUUAUUGGGCGUAAAGAGCUCGUAGGCGGUUUGUCGCGUCGGCCGUGAAAACUUGGGGCUUAACCCUAAGCUUGCGGUCGAUACGGGCAGACUUGAGUUCGGCAGGGGAGACUGGAAUUCCUGGUGUAGCGGUGAAAUGCGCAGAUAUCAGGAGGAACACCGGUGGCGAAGGCGGGGUCUCUGGGCCGACACUGACGCUGAGGAGCGAAAGCGUGGGGGAGCGAACAGGAUUUAGAUACCCUGGUAGUCCACGCCGUAAACGGUGGGUGCUAGGGUGUGGGGGGCUUCCACGCCCUCUGUGCCGCAGCUAACGCAUUAAGCACCCCGGCCUGGGGGAGUACGGUCGGCAGGGCUAAAACUCAAAUGAAUUUGACGGGG
RNAcentral lists this ribosomal RNA (902 nucleotides) under uncultured Actinomycetes bacterium. RNAcentral describes it as "bacterial SSU rRNA". It matches the Rfam family "Bacterial small subunit ribosomal RNA", at positions 8 to 918 of the family's 1533-position model. Lineage: Bacteria; Bacillati; Actinomycetota; Actinomycetes. The record is from RNAcentral.